This 253-nucleotide ribosomal RNA is filed under the name uncultured bacterium. RNAcentral describes it as "partial 16S ribosomal RNA". It matches the Rfam family "Bacterial small subunit ribosomal RNA", at positions 524 to 776 of the family's 1533-position model. The record is from RNAcentral.
UACGAAGGGGGCUAGCGUUGUUCGGAAUUACUGGGCGUAAAGCGCACGUAGGCGGAUAUUUAAGUCAGGGGUGAAAUCCCAGAGCUCAACUCUGGAACUGCCUUUGAUACUGGGUAUCUGGAGUAUGGAAGAGGUGAGUGGAAUUCCGAGUGUAGAGGUGAAAUUCGUAGAUAUUGGGAAGAACACCGGUGGCGAAGGCGGCUCACUGGCUCAUUUCUGACGCUCAGGCGCGACAGCGUGGGGAUCAAACAGG